This 286-nucleotide long non-coding RNA is filed under the name Phoenix dactylifera (date palm). RNAcentral's name for it is "long non-coding RNA (PDAC_LNC018497)". Lineage: Eukaryota; Viridiplantae; Streptophyta; Magnoliopsida; Arecales; Arecaceae. The record is from RNAcentral.
UACCCACCUUAAACUCUGGCCCCGACCGUAACUUGAGCCAAAAUUAGGCUAGUCUCAUGCCUAGCUUGAGACCAGCCUAAUGUUGGCUUAUCUUGAAUAAAGGAUAUUGUGAUUGGGGAACUUAACAUCUUAUCCUUGUUAUAUUAUAUGUUUCCUUCUCCCUUAAUGAAAUUUAAUUCUUCUUACUAGAAAAAAAAAAUAUAUUACCUUUCUUCCUUCAACUAUGAGGACAAUGCCUCAAAUCCCUUUCUCCAUCUAGCAAACGUUUUUACUAAUUAUGAUACUA